CGAAUGCUGACAUAAGUAACGAUAAAGCGGGUGAAAAGCCCGCUCGCCGGAAGACCAAGGGUUCCUGUCCAACGUUAAUCGGGGCAGGGUGAGUCGACCCCUAAGGCGAGGCCGAAAGGCGUAGUCGAUGGGAAACAGGUUAAUAUUCCUGUACUUGGUGUUACUGCGAAGGGGGGACGGAGAAGGCUAUGUUGGCCGGGCGACGGUUGUCCCGGUUUAAGCGUGUAGGCUGGUUUUCCAGGCAAAUCCGGAAAAUCAAGGCUGAGGCGUGAUGACGAGGCACUACGGUGCUGAAGCAACAAAUGCCCUGCUUCCAGGAAAAGCCUCUAAGCAUCAGGUAACAUCAAAUCGUACCCCAAACCGACACAGGUGGUCAGGUAGAGAAUACCAAGGCGCUUGAGAGAACUCGGGUGAAGGAACUAGGCAAAAUGGUGCCGUAACUUCGGGAGAAGGCACGCUGAUAUGUAGGUGAAGUCCCUCGCGGAUGGAGCUGAAAUCAGUCGAAGAUACCAGCUGGCUGCAACUGUUUAUUAAAAACACAGCACUGUGCAAACACGAAAGUGGACGUAUACGGUGUGACGCCUGCCCGGUGCCGGAAGGUUAAUUGAUGGGGUUAGCGCAAGCGAAGCUCUUGAUCGAAGCCCCGGUAAACGGCGGCCGUAACUAUAACGGUCCUAAGGUAGCGAAAUUCCUUGUCGGGUAAGUUCCGACCUGCACGAAUGGCGUAAUGAUGGCCAGGCUGUCUCCACCCGAGACUCAGUGAAAUUGAACUCGCUGUGAAGAUGCAGUGUACCCGCGGCAAGACGGAAAGACCCCGUGAACCUUUACUAUAGCUUGACACUGAACAUUGAGCCUUGAUGUGUAGGAUAGGUGGGAGGCUUUGAAGUGUGGACGCCAGUCUGCAUGGAGCCGACCUUGAAAUACCACCCUUUAAUGUUUGAUGUUCUAACGUUGACCCGUAAUCCGGGUUGCGGACAGUGUCUGGUGGGUAGUUUGACUGGGGCGGUCUCCUCCUAAAGAGUAACGGAGGAGCACGAAGGUUGGCUAAUCCUGGUCGGACAUCAGGAGGUUAGUGCAAUGGCAUAAGCCAGCUUGACUGCGAGCGUGACGGCGCGAGCAGGUGCGAAAGCAGGUCAUAGUGAUCCGGUGGUUCUGAAUGGAAGGGCCAUCGCUCAACGGAUAAAAGGUACUCCGGGGAUAACAGGCUGAUACCGCCCAAGAGUUCAUAUCGACGGCGGUGUUUGGCACCUCGAUGUCGGCUCAUCACAUCCUGGGGCUGAAGUAGGUCCCAAGGGUAUGGCUGUUCGCCAUUUAAAGUGGUACGCGAGCUGGGUUUAGAACGUCGUGAGACAGUUCGGUCCCUAUCUGCCGUGGGCGCUGGAGAACUGAGGGGGGCUGCUCCUAGUACGAGAGGACCGGAGUGGACGCAUCACUGGUGUUCGGGUUGUCAUGCCAAUGGCACUGCCCGGUAGCUAAAUGCGGAAGAGAUAAGUGCUGAAAGCAUCUAAGCACG
This 1513-nucleotide ribosomal RNA is filed under the name Escherichia coli. RNAcentral's name for it is "partial 23S ribosomal RNA". It matches the Rfam family "Bacterial large subunit ribosomal RNA", at positions 1291 to 2789 of the family's 2925-position model. The record is from RNAcentral. Lineage: Bacteria; Pseudomonadati; Pseudomonadota; Gammaproteobacteria; Enterobacterales; Enterobacteriaceae.